RNAcentral lists this ribosomal RNA (253 nucleotides) under uncultured bacterium. RNAcentral's name for it is "partial 16S ribosomal RNA". It matches the Rfam family "Bacterial small subunit ribosomal RNA", at positions 524 to 776 of the family's 1533-position model. The record is from RNAcentral.
UACAGAGGGUGCAAACGUUGUUCGGAAUUACUGGGCGUAAAGCGCGUGUAGGCGGCCCUUCAAGUCGGGUGUGAAAUCCCACGGCUCAACCGUGGAAGUGCAUUCGAAACUGCAGGGCUAGAGUCCUGGAGAGGAAGGUGGAAUGCUUGGUGUAGAGGUGAAAUUCGUAGAUAUCAAGCGGAACACCGGUGGCGAAGGCGGCCUUCUGGACAGUGACUGACGCUGAGACGCGAAAGCGUGGGGAGCAAACAGG